RNAcentral lists this ribosomal RNA (551 nucleotides) under uncultured bacterium. RNAcentral's name for it is "partial 16S ribosomal RNA". It matches the Rfam family "Bacterial small subunit ribosomal RNA", at positions 355 to 896 of the family's 1533-position model. The record is from RNAcentral.
UGGGGAAUUUUGGACAAUGGGCGCAAGCCUGAUCCAGCCAUGCCGCGUGCGGGAAGAAGGCCUUCGGGUUGUAAACCGCUUUGUCAGGGAAGAAAUCUUCUGAGUUAAUACCUCGGGGAGGAUGACGGUACCUGAAGAAUAAGCACCGGCUAACUACGUGCCAGCAGCCGCGGUAAUACGUAGGGUGCAAGCGUUAAUCGGAAUUACUGGGCGUAAAGCGUGCGCAGGCGGUUUUGUAAGACAGAGGUGAAAUCCCCGGGCUCAACCUGGGAACUGCCUUUGUGACUGCAAGGCUUGAGUGCGGCAGAGGGGGAUGGAAUUCCGCGUGUAGCAGUGAAAUGCGUAGAUAUGCGGAGGAAACACCGAUGGCGAAGGCAAUCCCCUGGGCCUGCACUGACGCUCAUGCACGAAAGCGUGGGGAGCAAACAGGAUUAGAUACCCUGGUAGUCCACGCCCCUAAAACGAUGUCAACUGGUUGUUGGGAAGGUUCCUUCUCAGUAACGUAGCUAAUGCGUGAAGUUGACCGCCUGGGGAGUACGGCCGCAAGGUUG